CAGUAGCCACGGUAAUACGUAGGUGGCAAGCGUUGUCCGGAAUAACUGGGCGUAAAGGGUGCGCAGGUGGUUUAACAAGUUAGUGGUGAAAGGCAUAGGCUCAACCAAUGUAAGCCAUUAAAACUGUUUAACUUGAGUGCAGGAGAGGAAAGUGGAAUUCCUAGUGUAGCGGUGAAAUGCGUAGAUAUUAGGAGGAAUACCAGUGGCGAAGGCGACUUUCUGGACUGCAACUGACACUGAGGCACGAAAGCGUGGGGAGCAAACAGGAUUAGAUACCCGAGUAGUCCCUGUCUCUUAUACC
Molecule: ribosomal RNA, 301 nt
Filed under: uncultured bacterium
Lineage: Bacteria
Description: partial 16S ribosomal RNA
Rfam family: Bacterial small subunit ribosomal RNA
Source: RNAcentral